CUCAAUGAAAUUUAAAUAGCCGCAAUACAUUUGCGCUAAGGUAGCAUAAUAAUUUGUCUUUUAAUUAAAGGCCAGAACAAAAGAUUUAACAAUUUUAUUUCUUUCUUAAUUAUAAAUAUUAAAUUUACCCUAAAAUUAAAAAGACCUUUAUUCAAUAAAAAGACGACAAGACCCUAUUGAACUUAACUAAAGUUUAACUGGGGCAGUUAAUUAAAUAUUAUUUUAAUUUAAAAUCAUAAACACCUAAUAAAAUUAAAUUAAUCAAGUUACCAUAGGGAUAACAGCGUAAUAAUUUUCCAUAGCUCUUAUUUAAAAAAUAAUUUGCGACCUCGAUGUUGAAUUAAUAAUCUAUUAAAUGCAAUAAUUUAAUAAGAAAGUCUGUUCGACUU
This 389-nucleotide ribosomal RNA is filed under the name Pireneitega xiyankouensis. RNAcentral describes it as "partial 16S ribosomal RNA". Lineage: Eukaryota; Metazoa; Arthropoda; Arachnida; Araneae; Agelenidae. The record is from RNAcentral.